Molecule: ribosomal RNA, 465 nt
Filed under: uncultured bacterium
Lineage: Bacteria
Description: partial 16S ribosomal RNA
Rfam family: Bacterial small subunit ribosomal RNA
Source: RNAcentral
GACGAACGCUGGCGGCGUGCUUAACACAUGCAAGUCGAACGGAAAGGCCCUGCUUGCCGGGUCCUCGAGUGGCGAACGGGUGAGUAACACGUGGGUGAUCUGCCCUGCACUUCGGGAUAAGCCUGGGAAACGGGGUCUAAUACCGGACAGGAGCCAUUUUUCGUGUGAUGGUUGGAAAGUUUUUUCGGUGUAGGAUGAGCUUGCGGCCUAUCAGCUUGUUGGUGGGGUAACGGCCUACCAAGGCGGCGACGGGUAGCCGGCCUGGGGGGGUGGACGGCCACAUUGGGACUGGGAUUCGGCCCAGGCUCCUACGGGUGGCAGAGGUGGGGGAUAUUGCACAAGGGGCGCGAGCCUGAUGCAGCGACGCCGCGGGGGGGAGGACGGCCUUGGGGUUGGAAACGCCUUUCGCUAGGGACGGAGCUUUUUGUGACGGUACCUAGAUAAGAAGCACCGGCUAACUACGUG